UACAUGUGGUUUGUUGUAAAAUUUGGAACUUCAUCUUCAAAUGACCUCUUACCCCACUCCUCCAAUCUGUUCUUCAUCCCCAUACAUUUAGAAUUGGUGUCCACAGCUCUUUCACCUGAUGAACGGGUAAUGCAAUGAUGAGGAGUGUUGACGAGUUCAUUUUUUGGCAUGACAGUCUCAUCGAACUUGGAUGGAGCACCUAAAUGCAUGGAACCCAUUGACAAUCGACGUUUCAGCGCAACCACGAUUAGAGUCUCCUCGACAUCUCGAAGUACCCAUACAAAGCCCAGUGAAGAUUUAGUCCUUUCUGUUGCCAUGGUGGAACAUUCAUAAAAUUCGAGUGGUAUCAAAACAACGAAAAUUGAAGAAAGGCUAGUUGAGGGUAUUACGCGUCGGGCUAGCACUUUAUACGCUUGACAUGUACCGAAUCAACGACAAACUAAAGAAUCAACUGGUUUUAAUGAGUGAUACGGUGUAAAAUAUUGUCCGCGAUAGAUCCGUAGAAGAUCGAAAUGGGGAUUUGGCAAAGGAAAUUUCUGUAGAGGGUGAUUUGGGAAAGAUAAAGUUUUAGGGAUGAUUCUUAAUGUCAAACUCAAUGUACUUGUAGCAUGAUUCUUUGAAUAGGAAUAUGAAAGAACACUAAUUCAGGGAUUUUAUUCUUUGAUUGAUCGUAAUCCGGGUGUGUUUGUUGUUUGCGAGUUUAAGGGCGUCUUUUAUGGAGUAAUCUUUGCUAUGUGAUGAAUUGUAUAUUAUUUUGACAACUUUUCACAUUCCAUUAUUACUCUAUAAAAAAAAGUAUAUAUGGUCAAUAAAAUGUGGA
RNAcentral lists this long non-coding RNA (820 nucleotides) under Olea europaea subsp. europaea. Lineage: Eukaryota; Viridiplantae; Streptophyta; Magnoliopsida; Lamiales; Oleaceae. The record is from RNAcentral.